AAAAAACUAGAGUAAUGUUUGAAAGGCUUCAGGAAUGUGUUAUUCAUUAUGUUGUUAAACACAAGUAUGGUCAAUAAAACAUGAUUUUAAUGGUGCGAUAUGAUUUGAGAGUGUGAGCCACAAAGAAUGUUUAACCAAUUGAAAUUAUAAGCGUAAUGUGAACAAAAUUCAGUAGAUUUAUACACUAAACUAAAUGAUACAAGUGAAUUGUCAUCAGAAUGAUCGCUGGUAGCAACUUGGAAAAGGAUUUCAGCAUCAUUGCGCCUCCUCGGAGAAGCAUAAUCAGCACAAAGUUCCUGAUUGCAGAAACUUUACGUAUGAAACUGAACUUAUCCCACAAUUAUGCACAGAGAAAAGGCGAGAUCGAAGACCUCGUGGGACAAAAUCUGCACAUACCAUCAUGCGCAAGCUAUGGGAAAAUAUACGCAUGCACGCACAGCGAGCAAGCUUUUGUUCGACCAAUUUUCAACAACUGUUGGCCAAUGUUAUUGUAUAUCAUGUUUUGAUUUCUGUUUUCAAUAAACACCGUAUUUCAUUAAAUAAUUAAAUGUAAACUUUGUUAAUAUAAAUCUUGUUAUUCUAAACAUUUUCAUCUAACUUUUAAAACGUUAUUCUAUAAUAACCCUUUCUGCUAUAGGCAUAAGACUUGAAAUUGAA
Molecule: long non-coding RNA, 657 nt
Organism: Octopus bimaculoides (California two-spot octopus)
Lineage: Eukaryota; Metazoa; Mollusca; Cephalopoda; Octopoda; Octopodidae
Source: RefSeq, a predicted model, not a curated record